This 252-nucleotide ribosomal RNA is filed under the name uncultured bacterium. Its description in RNAcentral is "partial 16S ribosomal RNA". It matches the Rfam family "Bacterial small subunit ribosomal RNA", at positions 524 to 776 of the family's 1533-position model. The record is from RNAcentral.
UACGUAGGGGGCCAGCGUUAUCCGGAUUUACUGGGCGUAAAGGGUGCGUAGGUGGUUUUUUAAGUCAGGAGUGAAAGGCUACGGCUCAACCGUAGUAAGCUCUUGAAACUGGGAAACUUGAGUGCAGGAGAGGAAAGUGGAAUUCCUAGUGUAGCGGUGAAAUGCGUAGAUAUUAGGAGGAACACCAGUAGCGAAGGCGGCUUUCUGGACUGUAACUGACACUGAGGCACGAAAGCGUGGGGAGCAAACAGG